This 127-nucleotide small RNA is filed under the name Marmota monax (woodchuck). The record is from RNAcentral. Lineage: Eukaryota; Metazoa; Chordata; Mammalia; Rodentia; Sciuridae.
GCCGGGCGCGGUGGCACAGGCCUGUAAUCCUGGAGGCUUGGGAGGCUGAGGCAGGAGGAUCACAAGUUCAAAGCUAGCCUCAGCCACUCAGCAAGGCGCUGAGCAACUCAGUGAGACCCUGUCUCUA